CCCUACCUACGGGGCGCAGCAGUGGGGAAUAUUGCACAAUGGGGGAAACCCUGAUGCAGCAACGCCGCGUGAAGGAAGACGGUUUUCGGAUUGUAAACUUCUUUUCUUAGUGAAGAAGCAAGUGACGGUAGCUAAGGAAUAAGCAUCGGCUAACUACGUGCCAGCAGCCGCGGUAAUACGUAGGAUGCGAGCGUUAUCCGGAAUUAAUGGGUGUAAAGGGAGCGCAGGCGGGACUGCAAGUUGGAUGUGAAAUACCGCAGCUUAACUGCGGGGCUGCAUUCAAAACUGUAGUUGUUG
Molecule: ribosomal RNA, 297 nt
Filed under: uncultured bacterium
Lineage: Bacteria
Description: partial 16S ribosomal RNA
Rfam family: Bacterial small subunit ribosomal RNA
Source: RNAcentral